CUAGGAUUAGAUACCCUAGUAUACUAAAAUCAUAUAAGGUAGUAAAAAAUUUUUUUAAAACCUAUUUAUAAUGGCGGCAUUUCAUCUUAUUAGAGGAACCUGUUCUUUAAUCGAUAAUCCACGUUCAAUUUCACUUAAAUCAAAAAUUUAUAUACCGCCAUCUAAAAAACUAAUAUAAUAAUAAUAUUUUCAAUAAAUAAAAUAAAAAGUUAGGUCAAGGUGUAAUUAAUAUUUAAGUAAACAAUGGGUUACGCUGAAAAAUAUUUAAGGACAUUUCUAUAAAAAUAGAAAUAGAAAAAGGAUUUAAAAGUAAUAAUAAAAUAAUAUUUUAUUAUGAUUAAGAUAAUAAAUGUGCACAUAUCGCCCGUCACCCUUAU
RNAcentral lists this ribosomal RNA (377 nucleotides) under Hogna crispipes. Its description in RNAcentral is "partial 12S ribosomal RNA". The record is from RNAcentral. Lineage: Eukaryota; Metazoa; Arthropoda; Arachnida; Araneae; Lycosidae.